GAUGAACGCUGGCGGCGUGCCUAACACAUGCAAGUCGAACGUGAAAGUUUAGUACAAAUACUUCGGUAGGCGUACUGGCUGGAAAGUGGCGAACGGGUGAGUAACACGUAGGUAACCUGCCUCGGAGUGGGGGAUAACCAGUGGAAACGCUGGCUAAUACCGCAUAUAUCCAUGGAUAACGGGAGUUGUCGUGGGUAAAGUUCAGGCGCUUCGAGAGGGGCCUGCGGCCGAUUAGUUAGUUGGUGGGGUAAAGGCUCACCAAGGCAGAGAUCGGUAGCUGGUCUGAGAGGACGAUCAGUCACACGGGAACUGAGACACGGUCCCGACUCCUACGGGAGGCUG
Molecule: ribosomal RNA, 342 nt
Filed under: uncultured Chloroflexota bacterium
Lineage: Bacteria; Bacillati; Chloroflexota
Description: bacterial SSU rRNA
Rfam family: Bacterial small subunit ribosomal RNA
Source: RNAcentral